UACGUAGGUGGCAAGCGUUAUCCGGAUUUAUUGGGCGUAAAGGGAACGCAGGCGGUCUUUUAAGUCUGAUGUGAAAGCCUUCGGCUUAACCGGAGUAGUGCAUUGGAAACUGGGAGACUUGAGUGCAGAAGAGGAGAGUGGAACUCCAUGUGUAGCGGUGAAAUGCGUAGAUAUAUGGAAGAACACCAGUGGCGAAAGCGGCUCUCUGGUCUGUAACUGACGCUGAGGGUCGGAAGCGUGGGUAGCAAACAGG
This 253-nucleotide ribosomal RNA is filed under the name uncultured bacterium. Its description in RNAcentral is "partial 16S ribosomal RNA". It matches the Rfam family "Bacterial small subunit ribosomal RNA", at positions 524 to 776 of the family's 1533-position model. The record is from RNAcentral.